Molecule: long non-coding RNA, 168 nt
Organism: Pecten maximus
Lineage: Eukaryota; Metazoa; Mollusca; Bivalvia; Pectinida; Pectinidae
Exons: 3
Source: RefSeq, a predicted model, not a curated record
AGAAAAAUCUCCGAUGCAAACCAACAUUCCGUGAAGCUGGACUGAGGAAUUACAGAGAACAAACUUCGAUGCGUCACCAUUGGGUCCACAGACGUCGCCAGGAGGGCAAGUGUAAACAGUGUGGGAAGUCAUUCCAACAGCGAUUCGCUUUCCAAAGCAAAGUAAGUA